This 429-nucleotide ribosomal RNA is filed under the name Bacteroidota bacterium. RNAcentral's name for it is "Bacteroidetes bacterium partial 16S ribosomal RNA". It matches the Rfam family "Bacterial small subunit ribosomal RNA", at positions 355 to 776 of the family's 1533-position model. Lineage: Bacteria; Pseudomonadati; Bacteroidota. The record is from RNAcentral.
UAGGGAAUCUUCGGCAAUGGGGGGAACCCUGACCGAGCAACGCCGCGUGAGUGAAGAAGGUUUUCGGCUCGUAAAGCCCUGUUGUUAAGGAAGAACGAGUGUGAGAAUGGAAAGUUCAUACUGUGACGGUACUUAACCAGAAAGGGACGGCUAACUACGUGCCAGCAGCCGCGGUAAUACGUAGGUCCCGAGCGUUGUCCGGAUUUAUUGGGCGUAAAGCGAGCGCAGGCGGUUAGAUAAGUCUGAAGUUAAAGGCAGUGGCUCAACCAUUGUAGGCUUUGGAAACUGUUUAACUUGAGUGCAGAAGGGGAGGGUGGAAUUCCAUGUGUAGCGGUAAAAUGCGUAAAUAUAUGGAGGAACACCGGUGGCGAAAGCGGCUCUCUGGUCUGUAACUGACGCUGAGGCUCGAAAGCGUGGGGAGCGAACAGG